UACUUGGUAUAUCUUGAUAUGAUCUCAUAUGAAAAAGUAACUAGCGGUGAUAGUUGGGCAGCGAUUGUCUAUUAUGUAGUAAUAUAAUUUUUAUAUUAAUUGAUAAGUAUAAAAACUAUCUUUCAAAUAUGAUGGCAAACGUUGCAACAGGUAGGAGUCGUCGCUUACAAACAGUGGUGGAUCCAAAAGGGGGGCUGGGUGGGCUCCAGCCCCCCCUAUAAGUAUGAUUUGUCUAUUAGAUUAGGAUUAGUUAGUCUUAAAUUUUUAUUAAUUUCUAGCUUUAACCCUAUAAGUUUACUGUUUAGCCCCCCUUGGCCUUCAUCCUGCUUACAAAUUGGAGUUACCAAGCUCACCUUGUGGUGCAUGUGUCUCAACUGAAGAAAUAUUCCCUCCCCUGGUCCAGGUGAGCACUGAUCUGUCUUCUGUAAUUACUGUGGUGCUACCAGUUCAGAUUCCAGAAUCUAAACUGGUCUCAAGGUGCCACUACGACUGUCAGCAGGGUUCAACAAAUCAAUACUUCAAUGUGAUGAUGGUGCUCAUGCUGUAACUAAAAUAAAUGCAACUUUUGGUGUUGAGAAUAAUAUAGUUUGGGCCGGAAGAUACAUGUUGGGCCGUGAGUGGGUGUGUUGUGUACUUGGGUGGCCCAGUGGAACGGUGCUGUAACUUAACUCAUCAGAUGUUCAAAAAAAAAAAAAAACUCAUCAGAUUGUUAUUGUGGCCCACUACCUGAACACCCUAAACUCUGAGGCUUUGGUUAUUUCUUAGCCGUCCCCUAAUUCUACUAAAUCCUAUAAUUUUGCGUGUUUGUAACUCUGUAUACAAGAGUUAGCAAACAACACCAGCGCGC
Molecule: long non-coding RNA, 847 nt
Filed under: Sorghum bicolor (sorghum)
Lineage: Eukaryota; Viridiplantae; Streptophyta; Magnoliopsida; Poales; Poaceae
Description: long non-coding RNA (SBIC_LNC003647)
Source: RNAcentral